GACGAACGCUGGCGGCGUGCUUAACACAUGCGAGUCGAACGGAAAGGCCCUGCUUGCCGGGUGCUCGAGUGGCGAACGGGUGAGUAACACGUGGGUGAUCUGCCCCUUACUUUGGGAUAAGCCUGGGAAACUGGGUCUAAUACUGGAUAGGACCAUGCUGUAGGUGGUGUGGUGGAAAGAUUAGUUUCGGUAAGGGAUGAGCUCGCGGCCUAUCAGCUUGUUGGUGGGGUAAUGGCCUACCAAGGCGUCGACGGGUAGCCGGCCUGAGAGGGUGGACGGCCACAUUGGGACUGAGAUACGGCCCAGACUCCUACGGGAGGCAGCAGUGGGGAAUAUUGCACAAUGGGCGCAAGCCGGAUGCAGCGACGCCGCGUGGGGGAUGACGGCCUUCGGGUUGUAAACUCCUUUCAGCCAUGACGAAGCCCUUGUGGUGACGGUAGUGGUAGAAGAAGCACCGGCUAACUACGUG
RNAcentral lists this ribosomal RNA (469 nucleotides) under uncultured bacterium. Its description in RNAcentral is "partial 16S ribosomal RNA". It matches the Rfam family "Bacterial small subunit ribosomal RNA", at positions 28 to 507 of the family's 1533-position model. The record is from RNAcentral.